UUGACUGGAAGAGGUCCCUCAGGUGGGGGUUGGGGGUAAGGCCGCAGGAAGCGGUGACGUACAGAAGAGAAUGGGGGCACAGAAGAGAGUAGGACAUGGACAUGAGUUCUGGCUUGUUUUCUUGCUCGCUGUGAAUUUGGAGUCUGGGUUUGCUUCCCCAUUUCUAAAAUGCCACAUUCCCCAUUUUUCAAAUGGCAACAGUCACAGGAUCGUUGUGCGGAUCAAGUGAGAUGAAAUGAUUUGCAAACCAUGAGGUACCACAUACGCAUGGGUGCCGUGGUUGGGGUUCAUCUUUCCACCCGAGUUGUGUCACAGGGCUUCCUCCAGACUGGAGGAACAGAGCCCGAAGCAGGGGAAGGGGCCAGCUCUUCUCCAUGUGGGUCACUGGAGUCCCCUGCGUGAGCCGCCGGCCAUAAACUCCUGAUCUGGCCUGAUAGAGUCAUCUUCCAGCAAGAUUCUUCCUGGAUGCCUUUCCAUGGCUUGUUUCCAAGCAGAAAGCUGGCAACGGCUGCUCACUCUUCCUUCUUCACUGAGCCUUCUUUUCCAUAUUGGAAGAAGAUGAAAUGCACAUUUCAGAAUAGUUUCUUGAAGGAAGAAUGAGAUCAACACAAAGAGAGAAGCCGAGAUGGAAAACUGAGAAACGGCCCUGCUGAUGGACUCUGAGUCCCUGGUUCCACCCCUGUGUCCUCCAGUUAAAUAAGCUGAAUGUGAUCCCCCCCUUUUGGCUUAAGCUAGCUUUGAGUUGCACCCCAGGACUCACUCGUGGUGAAAUCUGCUGAAUGAGCUCAGGGGUGGGGAUAGUGAGCUGCCUCUGUGCUCUCCGUACAAAUCCCUCUUGCAAUCAUGCAGCUUGUGACAUUUGCUAGUGAUGAUUCAAACAAGCUGCCAUCAUUUACUGGUGGGUAGGAGGGGGAUGGAGCCCCCUGAUAGAGACACUAGAGUGGUUGCUCCAAAGAAUCCCCAGGGUCCUGUGCCACGAGAGUGGUGAACACAUCAGCACAUGUGCCCAGUGCUAUGUACACUCAGGUAUCCUUUUGGUCAUUGCUUGUGUUUAGAAAUAGGUGAUACCUUGAAGGGGGCCCUCCCUUCAGGUAGGCCAUUUUUGCCAAGAAGUAUUUAAAAAAAAUUUUUAAACACUUAUUUAUUUUUGAGAGAGAGAGAGACAGAGAGUGAGCAGGGGAGGGGCAGAGAGCGAGGGAGACACAGAAUGGCAAGCAGGCUCCGGGCUCUGAGCUGUCAGCACAGAGCCCGAAGUUGGGCUGGAACCCACAAACCAUGAGAUCAUGACCUGAACCGAAGUUGAAAGCUUAAUUGACUGAGUCACCCAGACACCCCAAGGAUUAUUUAAUAAAGGAAUAGGCUGAGGGAUCCACUUUCCAAUGAGGGAAAGCCUUGUCUGUCACGUAAUACCCCUGCCCCCACCCCCACCUUGAGCCCAGGCAUGCUGGUGUGCAGCAGGAUUUGAUGUCCAAUUGUACAUGCUGUGUGAAGAAGACUGGUGUGAGGUAACGAAGGCCAAUGUUCAAUCUACAAAAUGGUGAUUUCCGUUCAUUUUUGCUUGUGAUGCACAAUGUGGUUUUAAAGUUCCAAAGAACAAGGUUUCUUGAAAAUAUCUUAUUUUUUUCCUGAUCACAAAACAUAGAAGCAGCACUAAAAACUGCAAUAAAAAUUAAGCAAAUAAAGAUAAUUUAAAAUCUUAUCACCCACAGGUCGGCACCGUGCAUUUUGGGGUGUAUCUCUCCCAGACUUGUUUCUUCUACCCAAGAGCAAGCUUAGAGGCUGAAUCCAGAUCAGAAUUGAGGUCUCUUAGUGCCUUGUAGGAAUACUUGUUUUUAUUCUUCAUGACACAUUAGAAAAUGAUAGUACAAAAAUCCAUGAACCUAAGGCCCACAUAUAACAAAAGUUAGCAUUUUGUAUUUACUUCAGAUACUUUUGUUUUAAUAAAUACAAUGUUGUAAAAUUUUGACAACCCUCCCCUAAUCCUUUUCCUCUCCCCUAGAGAUACCAAUUUCCUGAAGUUGAGAGUUUCUUUUCCCUGUGUUUUAUACUGCUGUAAUGUAUGUUUGCAUACUUAAAUUAUAAUAAGAUAUCAUUUUGUGGGUUUUUUAAAAGACUUAUACAAAUUAUGGGGCGCCUUGAUGACUCAGUUGGUUGUCUGACUCUUGAUUUCAGCUCGGGUCAGGAUCUCACGUUUCAUGGGUUCAAGCCCCAUGUCAGGCUCCGCACUGAGCAUGGGGCCUGCUUGGGAUUCUCUCUUUCCCCUUCUCUCUCUGCCCCUCCCCUGUUCUUUCUCUCUCUCUCUCUCUCUCUCUCUCUCUCUCUGUCAAAAUAAAUAAAGUUAAAAAAAUAACAACAAAAAAACCAAAAAGAAAUGCAAAAUAUAUCAACAUGUGUAUCUCCUUCAACUUUCUUUAUUGCACUUGUCAUUAAAUUUCUGGUAUGUAUUCACACUGAUACAUCUAAAUCAUUGUAGUUACUGUAUCAUAGUCCAUUAAAUGAAUAUAUCAGAGUUCA
This is a long non-coding RNA of Neofelis nebulosa (Clouded leopard), 2514 nucleotides long. RefSeq lists it as uncharacterized. NCBI's taxonomy places the organism in Eukaryota, Metazoa, Chordata, Mammalia, Carnivora, Felidae. The transcript has 2 exons. The record is from RefSeq and is a predicted model, not a curated record.